UUGAUAUGGGGAGUACAGAGGGGAUUCCCCUCUGUCGCAGUCAGGAGGGUGCUCAGACUGCCCCCGCAGUCGUCGAAGGGAAC
This 83-nucleotide small RNA is filed under the name Geosporobacter ferrireducens. RNAcentral describes it as "Clostridiales-2 RNA". It matches the Rfam family "Clostridiales-2 RNA". Lineage: Bacteria; Bacillati; Bacillota; Clostridia; Peptostreptococcales; Thermotaleaceae. The record is from Rfam by way of RNAcentral.